ACGAGAGGACCGGGAUGGACGUACCGCUGGUGCACCAGUUGUUCCGCCAGGAGCACGGCUGGGUAGCUAAGUACGGAAGGGAUAAGCGCUGAAAGCAUCUAAGCGUGAAGCCCCCCUCAAGAUGAGAUUUCCCAAUUCGUAAGACCCCUUGAAGACGACGAGGUAGAUAGGUUGGAGGUGGAAGUGCAGCAAUGCAUGGAGCUGACCAAUACUAAUCGGUCGAGGGCUUAUCCUAAA
Molecule: ribosomal RNA, 237 nt
Filed under: Paenibacillus sp. DMB20
Lineage: Bacteria; Bacillati; Bacillota; Bacilli; Caryophanales; Paenibacillaceae
Description: partial 23S ribosomal RNA
Rfam family: Bacterial large subunit ribosomal RNA
Source: RNAcentral